UGGGGAAUAUUGCACAAUGGGGGAAACCCUGAUGCAGCCAUGCCGCGUGUGUGAAGAAGGCCUUCGGGUUGUAAAGCACUUUCAGCGAGGAGGAAAGGUUGGCGCCUAAUACGUGUCAACUGUGACGUUACUCGCAGAAGAAGCACCGGCUAACUCCGUGCCAGCAGCCGCGGUAAUACGGAGGGUGCAAGCGUUAAUCGGAAUUACUGGGCGUAAAGCGCACGCAGGCGGUUGGAUAAGUUAGAUGUGAAAGCCCCGGGCUCAACCUGGGAAUUGCAUUUAAAACUGUCCAGCUAGAGUCUUGUAGAGGGGGGUAGAAUUCCAGGUGUAGCGGUGAAAUGCGUAGAGAUCUGGAGGAAUACCGGUGGCGAAGGCGGCCCCCUGGACAAAGACUGACGCUCAGGUGCGAAAGCGUGGGGAGCAAACAGG
This 429-nucleotide ribosomal RNA is filed under the name uncultured Aeromonas sp. RNAcentral's name for it is "bacterial SSU rRNA". It matches the Rfam family "Bacterial small subunit ribosomal RNA", at positions 355 to 776 of the family's 1533-position model. The record is from RNAcentral. Lineage: Bacteria; Pseudomonadati; Pseudomonadota; Gammaproteobacteria; Aeromonadales; Aeromonadaceae.